RNAcentral lists this ribosomal RNA (353 nucleotides) under uncultured bacterium. RNAcentral describes it as "bacterial SSU rRNA". It matches the Rfam family "Bacterial small subunit ribosomal RNA", at positions 355 to 725 of the family's 1533-position model. The record is from RNAcentral.
UGGGGAAUAUUGCACAAUGGGGGAAACCCUGAUGCAGCAACGCCGCGUGGGUGAUGACGGCCUUCGGGUUGUAAAGCUCUUUUGUGCGGGAAGAUAAUGACGGUACCGCAAGAAUAAGCCCCGGCUAACUUCGUGCCAGCAGCCGCGGUAAUACGAAGGGGGCUAGCGUUGCCCGGAAUCACUGGGAGUAAAGGGUGCGUAGGCGGGUUUCUAAGUCAGAGGUGAAAGCCUGGAGCUCAACUCCAGAACUGCCUUUGAUACUGGAAGUCUUGAGUUCGGGAGAGGUGAGCAGAACUGCGAGUGGGGAGGUUAAAUUCGUAGAUAUUCGCAAGAACACCAGUGGCGAAGGCGGC